This 253-nucleotide ribosomal RNA is filed under the name uncultured bacterium. RNAcentral describes it as "partial 16S ribosomal RNA". It matches the Rfam family "Bacterial small subunit ribosomal RNA", at positions 524 to 776 of the family's 1533-position model. The record is from RNAcentral.
UACGGAGGGUGCAAGCGUUACUCGGAUUUAUUGGGCGUAAAGGGCAGGUAGGUGGUCUUAUUUGUCUGAGGUGAAAGCCUUGAGCUUAACUCAAGAAGUGCCUCAGAAACGGUAGGACUAGAGUUCUAGAGAGGGUCGUGGAAUUCCCGGUGUAGCGGUGAAAUGCGUAGAGAUCGGGAGGAACACCAGAGGCGAAGGCGGCGACCUGGAUAGAUACUGACACUAAACUGCGAAAGCGUGGGGAGCAAACAGG